AUUGAACGCUAGCGGCAGGCUUAACACAUGCAAGUCGAGCGAGCGGCGGACGGGUGAGUAAUGUCUGGGAAACUGCCUGAUGGAGGGGGAUAACUACUGGAAACGGUAGCUAAUACCGCAUACCAUCAGAAGUGCCCAGAUGGGAUUAGCUAGUAGGUGGGGUAAUGGCUCACCUAGGCGACGAUCCCUGGCUGGUCUGAGAGGAUGAACAGCCACACUGGAACGGAGACGCGGUCCAGACCCCUACGGGAGGCAGCGGAGGGGAAUAGUGCACAAUGGGAGGAAGCCUGGUUCAGCCAUGCCGCGUGGGUGAAGAAGGCCUUCGGGUUGUAAAGCACUUUCAGCGAGGAAGCGUUACUCGAAGAAGAAGCACCGGCUAACUCCGUGCCAGCAGCCGCGGUAAUUC
This 406-nucleotide ribosomal RNA is filed under the name uncultured bacterium. RNAcentral describes it as "partial 16S ribosomal RNA". It matches the Rfam family "Bacterial small subunit ribosomal RNA", at positions 29 to 526 of the family's 1533-position model. The record is from RNAcentral.